Long non-coding RNA from Vigna radiata var. radiata (mung bean), 219 nucleotides. RefSeq lists it as uncharacterized. The transcript has 3 exons. The record is from RefSeq and is a predicted model, not a curated record. NCBI's taxonomy places the organism in Eukaryota, Viridiplantae, Streptophyta, Magnoliopsida, Fabales, Fabaceae.
AGACCACAGUGGCUAACUGUAAGAUGGCGCUCACAAAAUUAUGUAGAGAAGGUUGAAGAAGAGCUUGAAAGGGAAGGUAAUCACAUAAUAACUAACCGUGAGGUUCACUUGGUUUCGACAACUGAAAAAGGAUGUGUUGUGUACUGCAAAGAUGGUUCUGCAAAAGUGUUUGAUGGAUGCAUAUUGGCAGUGCAUGCACCUGAUGCCUUGAGAUUAUUA